ACUGAGUGUGCGAUGCCCUCGUUGUCACCCGAGACCCAGAUGGUACUGUCAAGAUCCCCACGAUGCAACGCUACGUCAGGCAGCCUUGUGCGCUGAAGCAGCACUCCCCUCUGACCUCACACAAAUGCACAAAAAAAGGCUUGACGAGUGAGUGUACUUCAUCUGAAGGACUUGUCCAGUACAACCACAGCCAUCUGUGUUGGCCUUUGGACAAAUCUACCAGCUCUGAUCCAACACACCUCUCCCCCUACUGUCACCAGUGAAGGCAUGCUGCAGCCACUGGAGUUAUAACAGAACCCCUGAUUACCACAUGAUAUAGUUUAAUCUAAAAAAAAAAAACAUAACGUUCA
Acanthopagrus latus (yellowfin seabream) is the source of this 350-nucleotide long non-coding RNA. RefSeq lists it as uncharacterized. The transcript has 2 exons. The record is from RefSeq and is a predicted model, not a curated record. NCBI's taxonomy places the organism in Eukaryota, Metazoa, Chordata, Actinopteri, Spariformes, Sparidae.